This 206-nucleotide ribosomal RNA is filed under the name uncultured bacterium. RNAcentral describes it as "partial 16S ribosomal RNA". It matches the Rfam family "Bacterial small subunit ribosomal RNA", at positions 1287 to 1500 of the family's 1533-position model. The record is from RNAcentral.
CUCAGUUCGGAUUGGAGUCUGNAACCCGACUCCAUGAAGCUGGAUUCGCUAGUAAUCGCGCAUCAGCCACGGCGCGGUGAAUACGUUCCCGGGCCUUGUACACACCGCCCGUCAAGCCAUGGGAGCCGGGGGUACCUGAAGUGCGUGACCGCAAGGAGCGCCCUAAGGUAAAACCGGUGACUGGGGCUAAGUCGUAACAAGGUACC